UCAGAUAAAGAAACCCGAAAAUUCCAUCGAUGUAUCUUCUAUCAAUUACCUUAAAGCCGUGAAAGAACUAGCCAUUAGUGUUGGUGCUAAGGACAACAUCCAACUACAAACCCAGAUAAGACGUAUUAAACUUCUGGAUAGAAUAAUUAAUUAUCCAAAAACGGAUAAUCAAAGCGAAAAGUUAACAUUAAGAGAAUUACACAGUUUAUUACCUUCGAUCAAUUGGAUAAAACUGAUACACGUUAUCACAAAUUCCACUUUUAAAUAUUCAAAUAUUUCGAUAAAUGAU
Molecule: long non-coding RNA, 289 nt
Organism: Centruroides sculpturatus (bark scorpion)
Lineage: Eukaryota; Metazoa; Arthropoda; Arachnida; Scorpiones; Buthidae
Exons: 3
Source: RefSeq, a predicted model, not a curated record